Non-coding RNA from Acanthosepion pharaonis, 97 nucleotides. Lineage: Eukaryota; Metazoa; Mollusca; Cephalopoda; Sepiida; Sepiidae. The record is from the annotation of a GenBank genome assembly.
UUGAAACUCCAAUUCCCGUACGAUCAUCGAAGUUAAGCAACGUCGGGCCUGAUCAUUACCUAGAUAGGUGACCGCUUGGGAAUACCAGAUACUGUAA